ACGUAGGGGGCAAGCGUUGCUCGGAAUUACUGGGCGUAAAGGGUGUGUAGGUGGCGGAUUAAGUUAAGGAUGAAAUCACGAGGCUCAACUUCGGAACUGUCCUUGAUACUGGUCAGCUUGAGGCUAGUAAAGGAGAGCGGAAUUCCCGGUGGAGCGGUGUUAUGCGUAGAUAUGGCGAGUAACACCGUAGUCGUAGGUGGUUCUCUAUUGUAGUUCUCACUCUGCGGCUUAAAACUUCGGGGUAUAUACCU
RNAcentral lists this ribosomal RNA (251 nucleotides) under uncultured prokaryote. RNAcentral describes it as "partial 16S rRNA". It matches the Rfam family "Bacterial small subunit ribosomal RNA", at positions 525 to 775 of the family's 1533-position model. The record is from RNAcentral.